UGCAACUUGACCACUGUAUCCAGCCGAGACAAAUCAACAUCAGAAAGACCUUAGCAGCUCUACUACCGUGGAAGACCUAUUGACUUAAUAUUGGUUAAUCAGGUUAGUGUUUGCAACUUGAGCUAUUCAUAAGAGGUAAUCGAACAAUUGGCCAGGUAAGUAAGUGGGAGGCUCCCCUUACUCAGAGAGUAAGGUCCUAAUUAAGUAACCACCUUUCAUGCUUUCCUAGACACCAAUUAGAUCAAUUAAUCUAAUAUGACUUGCUCAUGUUGGUUCACUCUCGACUGGAUUGAGGAGGUUUUAAUUUAGGUCUCAAUUGGGUUUGCUACAUCACAUGUAAACCUAUCUACCCCGCUUUCAUUCACAUCACAUGCAAACGGCACAUCACAGGCAGUUAUAAUCGCAGCAUCAAAUAAAGCUAAACUUUUAAAUAGGUGAUGAUCAUGGAUUCUAAUUAGGUCGUAUUACAAGCACAUGCACGUCAAUCGAUCAGUUGGUCUUCAACU
This 506-nucleotide long non-coding RNA is filed under the name Phoenix dactylifera (date palm). RNAcentral describes it as "long non-coding RNA (PDAC_LNC012173)". Lineage: Eukaryota; Viridiplantae; Streptophyta; Magnoliopsida; Arecales; Arecaceae. The record is from RNAcentral.